Molecule: long non-coding RNA, 204 nt
Filed under: Elaeis guineensis (African oil palm)
Lineage: Eukaryota; Viridiplantae; Streptophyta; Magnoliopsida; Arecales; Arecaceae
Description: long non-coding RNA (EGUI_LNC035914)
Source: RNAcentral
UACAGACUAACGUACAGGCUAACUAAGUACAUAAGAUAAAAACUAAACUAAAGCACAGGCUAACGAAGGGCUAAAAUAAACUAAAGUGCAAACUAAACUAAUAUUAGAAAAUAUAAACUAAUAGAAUAUUACUGAGAGGACAUAAGUUAAUAACUAAAUAUAAACUAGAAAACAUAAGCUACUAAGAGAUUAGUGAGAACACAA